Molecule: ribosomal RNA, 586 nt
Filed under: uncultured soil bacterium
Lineage: Bacteria
Description: bacterial SSU rRNA
Rfam family: Bacterial small subunit ribosomal RNA
Source: RNAcentral
UCCUGGCUCAGAACGAACGCUGGCGGCGUGGAUAAGACAUGCAAGUCGAACGGGACCAAGUCUGUAGUAAUACAAACUUGGUUCAGUGGCGCACGGGUGCGUAACACGUGAGCAAUCUGCCGGGAAGUGGGGGAUAGCUCGCCGAAAGGCGAAUUAAUACCGCAUGUGGCCAUUCUUCGAGUGGAGGAAAAGCCAAAGCAGCAAUGCGCUUCCUGAUGAGCUCGCGGCCUAUCAGCUCGAUGGCGGGGUAAUGGCCCACCAUGGCUUUGACGGGUAGCUGGUCUGAGAGGACGACCAGCCACACUGGAACUGAGACACGGUCCAGACACCUACGGGUGGCAGCAGUCGAGAAUUUUUCACAAUGGGGGCAACCCUGAUGGAGCGACGCCGCGUGGAGGAUGAAGGCCUUCGGGUCGUAAACUCCUGUCAUGCGGGAACAAGCAAGUGAUAGUACCGCAAGAGGAAGAGACGGCUAACUCUGUGCCAGCAGCCGCGGUAAUACAGAGGUCUCAAGCGUUGUUCGGAUUCAUUGGGCGUAAAGGGUGCGUAGGUGGUGAUGCAAGUCUGGUGUGAAAUCUCGGAGCUC